GGUCUGGUGGUGUAGUUGGUUAUCACGUCAGUCUAACAACCUCCGUCACGAUUCACCUCGGACACGGCUGCAACACACUGAAGGUCUCCGGUUCAAGUCCGGGCUAGAUCA
The sequence is a transfer RNA, 111 nucleotides long. It matches the Rfam family "tRNA". From Rfam's summary of the family: Transfer RNA (tRNA) molecules are approximately 80 nucleotides in length. Their secondary structure includes four short double-helical elements and three loops (D, anti-codon, and T loops). The record is from Rfam.